Molecule: non-coding RNA, 114 nt
Organism: Triticum aestivum (bread wheat)
Lineage: Eukaryota; Viridiplantae; Streptophyta; Magnoliopsida; Poales; Poaceae
Source: Rfam
CUUGUACUCCCUCCGUCGAAAAUACUUGUCAUUGAAAUGGAUGUAUCUAGACAUAUUUUAGUUCUAGACACAUCCAUUUUGAUGACAAGUAAUUCCGGACGGAGGGAGUACUUG